Molecule: long non-coding RNA, 210 nt
Filed under: Lathyrus oleraceus (garden pea)
Lineage: Eukaryota; Viridiplantae; Streptophyta; Magnoliopsida; Fabales; Fabaceae
Description: Pisum sativum (pea) long non-coding RNA (PSAT_LNC030430)
Source: RNAcentral
GAGUCAAUCAUUUGUGGAGAAGAGUUCCUUCAUUCUAAACUCCCACACUUUCUAUUGUUUAAAGCUCUCCCAGGCCAGGGAUAAGAGCUAUGAGGCAUAACCCUCAUCUCCAUUUCAUCUGCUUCACCCUAACUACAGGCCAGGGAUAAGAGCUAUGAGGCAUAACCCUCAUCUCCAUUUCAUCUGCUUCACCCUAACUCUCAAUGUUAG